UUGUGUGAUGAUUUCCUGAUAGGGACAGCUUAUGCUCAAUGCGUAUGAUGUGAAUGGGAAAGAGUAUUUUAGUAGAUGCUUCUCACUUCUGACU
RNAcentral lists this small nucleolar RNA (94 nucleotides) under Exophiala aquamarina CBS 119918. Its description in RNAcentral is "A. fumigatus snoRNA Afu_335". It matches the Rfam family "A. fumigatus snoRNA Afu_335". The record is from Rfam by way of RNAcentral. Lineage: Eukaryota; Fungi; Ascomycota; Eurotiomycetes; Chaetothyriales; Herpotrichiellaceae.